This 521-nucleotide long non-coding RNA is filed under the name Bos mutus (wild yak). RNAcentral describes it as "lncRNA (ENSBMUG00000001337.1)". Lineage: Eukaryota; Metazoa; Chordata; Mammalia; Artiodactyla; Bovidae. The record is from RNAcentral.
ACUUUUCCUGCACUUGCGGCGUCCUGGGGACCCCCGGUAGGGGGCGCCGAGAGCGAGCGCUGGAAGAGGGCCUGAGGAUGCUGGCUGGCUAGGAAGGCUUCCUCUGUGCCCGGUGAGUUGGUGGGGUCCGGGUGAGCAAAGCACAGGACCAGGCGGAUCUUGCCAUCAUUUCCUAGAGGCGGAGGGUGGCGCGGUCUCAGCUGUGUCUAAUAUUUGUAAACCAUCACAUUCCACGGUGACAACUAUCUGAUGGAGAGAGGAGCCUCGUGGUGGAUCCGGGUGUGAAGGCUCUGACAGGAUGCUUAUAUCGGUUUCUUGUGCAUCUUACUCCUUGGGUGUCACUUUCAGAAGUGCCUUCUCUUCUGUUCCAGGAGCAUUGGUGUGUGAGAGUUGCUGAACCACCCGAGUGGCUGUGGAUCCUUCGUGUGAUACAUGGUCGAGGACACGCUCCACCCCUUUCCUCCUUGGCACUUUCCACACAUGACGGGACCACGAGCUUCUGGUUAGACAAGUGCCCGGAG